This 255-nucleotide ribosomal RNA is filed under the name uncultured bacterium. RNAcentral describes it as "partial 16S ribosomal RNA". It matches the Rfam family "Bacterial small subunit ribosomal RNA", at positions 524 to 776 of the family's 1533-position model. The record is from RNAcentral.
UACGUAGGGUGCAAGCAUUAUCCGGAGUGACUGGGCGUAAAGAGUUGCGUAGGCGGUUAGUAAAGUGAAUAGUGAAAUCUGGUGGCUCAACCACACAGGCUAUUAUUCAAACUCACUAACUCGAGAGUGAUAGAGGUAACUGGAAUUUCUAGUGUAGGAGUGAAAUCCGUAGAUAUAGGGAGGAAUACCAGUGGCGAAGGCGGCCCCCUGGCACAACACUGACGCUCAGGUGCGAAAGCGUGGGGAGCAAACAGG